Molecule: ribosomal RNA, 1402 nt
Filed under: uncultured bacterium
Lineage: Bacteria
Description: 16S ribosomal RNA
Rfam family: Bacterial small subunit ribosomal RNA
Source: RNAcentral
AGAGUUUGAUCCUGGCUCAGGAUGAACGCUAGCGGCAGGCUUAACACAUGCAAGUCGAGGGGCAGCGGGGAGGAAGCUUGCUUUCUCCGCCGGCGACCGGCGCACGGGUGAGUAACACGUAUGCAACCUGCCCCUGUCAGGGGGACAACCCGCCGAAAGGCGGGCUAAACCCGCGUACAUGCCACCGGGGCAUCCCGGAGGCAGGAAAGGCUUCGGCCGGACAGGGAUGGGCAUGCGGCGCAUUAGGCAGUAGGCGGGGUAACGGCCCACCUAACCGACGAUGCGUAGGGGUUCUGAGAGGAAGGUCCCCCACACUGGUACUGAGACACGGACCAGACUCCUACGGGAGGCAGCAGUGAGGAAUAUUGGUCAAUGGUCGGGAGACUGAACCAGCCAAGCCGCGUGAGGGAAGAAGGUACAGAGUAUCGUAAACCUCUUUUGUCAGGGAACAAAGGCGGGGACGUGUCCCCGGAUGAGUGUACCUGAAGAAAAAGCAUCGGCUAACUCCGUGCCAGCAGCCGCGGUAAUACGGAGGAUGCGAGCGUUAUCCGGAUUUAUUGGGUUUAAAGGGUGCGCAGGCGGUCUGUUAAGUCAGCGGUCAAAGCCCGGGGCUCAACCCCGGCCCGCCGUUGAAACUGGCAGUCUCGAGUUGGAGAGAAGUAUGCGGAAUGCGCGGUGUAGCGGUGAAAUGCAUAGAUAUCGCGCAGAACUCCGAUUGCGAAGGCAGCAUGCCGGCUCCACACUGACGCUGAGGCACGAAAGCGUGGGUAUCGAACAGGAUUAGAUACCCUGGUAGUCCACGCAGUAAACGAUGAAUGCUGGCUGUCCGGGGGGACUGACCCCUGGGUGGCGAAGCGAAAGCGAUAAGCAUUCCACCUGGGGAGUACGCCGGCAACGGUGAAACUCAAAGGAAUUGACGGGGGCCCGCACAAGCGGAGGAACAUGUGGUUUAAUUCGAUGAUACGCGAGGAACCUUACCCGGGCUCAAACGGGGAGUGGCGCAGGCAGAGACGCCUGUUUCCCACGGGACACUCCCCGAGGUGCUGCAUGGUUGUCGUCAGCUCGUGCCGUGAGGUGUCGGCUUAAGUGCCAUAACGAGCGCAACCCCCGCGUGCAGUUGCUAACAGUCAACGCUGAGGACUCUGCACGGACUGCCGGCGCAAGCCGCGAGGAAGGCGGGGAUGACGUCAAAUCAGCACGGCCCUUACGUCCGGGGCGACACACGUGUUACAAUGGGUGGUACAGCGGGAAGCCAGGCGGCGACGCCGAGCGGAACCCGAAAUCCACUCUCAGUUCGGAUCGGAGUCUGCAACCCGACUCCGUGAAGCUGGAUUCGCUAGUAAUCGCGCAUCAGCCAUGGCGCGGUGAAUACGUUCCCGGGCCUUGCACACACCGCCCGUCA